RNAcentral lists this ribosomal RNA (865 nucleotides) under uncultured Acidobacteriota bacterium. RNAcentral describes it as "bacterial SSU rRNA". It matches the Rfam family "Bacterial small subunit ribosomal RNA", at positions 58 to 922 of the family's 1533-position model. Lineage: Bacteria; Pseudomonadati; Acidobacteriota. The record is from RNAcentral.
CAAGUCGAGUGCGCGUUUCCGUAGCAAUACGGAAAUGGCGCACGGCGCACGGGUGCGUAACACGUGGGUAAUCUGCCCUUCGAUGGGGAAUAACUCGCCGAAAGGCGAGCUAAUUCCGCAUAACAUUCCUUGGACUCCGGUUCGAGGAUUCAAAGGCGUAAGUCGUCGGAGGUGGAGCCCGCGCACGAUUAGCUAGUUGGUGAGGUAAUGGCUCACCAAGGCUAUGAUCGUUAGCUGGUCUGAGAGGAUGGCCAGCCACACUGGAACUGAGACACGGUCCAGACUCCUACGGGAGGCAGCAGUGGGGAAUCUUGCACAAUGGGCGAAAGCCUGAUGCAGCGACGCCGCGUGGGGGAUGAAGCUUCUCGGAGUGUAAACCCCUUUCGACCGGGACGAAUACCUCGCAAGAGGGGUGACGGUACCGGUAUAAGAAGCCCCGGCUAACUACGUGCCAGCAGCCGCGGUAAGACGUAGGGGGCCAGCGUUGCUCGGAAUUACUGGGUGUAAAGGGUUCGUAGGCGGUGUGGCAAGUCGGGAGUGAAAUCUCUGGGCUCAACUCAGGGGCUGCUUCCGAAACUGCCGUGCUAGAGUGUGGGAGAGGCGCGUGGAAUUGCAGGUGUAGCGGUGAAAUGCGUAGAUAUCUGCAGGAACACCCGUGGCGAAAGCGGCGCGCUGGACCACUACUGACGCUGAGGAACGAAAGCUAGGGGAGCAAACAGGAUUAGAUACCCUGGUAGUCCUAGCCCUAAACGAUCAGGACUUGGGGUGCCACCCGUUCGGGUGUCGUCCCUGAGCUAACGCGUUAAGUCCUGCACCUGGGGAGUACGGUCGCAAGACUGAAACUCAAAGGAAUUGACGGGGGCCC